Long non-coding RNA from Manacus vitellinus (golden-collared manakin), 345 nucleotides. RefSeq lists it as uncharacterized. The record is from RefSeq and is a predicted model, not a curated record. Lineage: Eukaryota; Metazoa; Chordata; Aves; Passeriformes; Pipridae. The transcript is spliced from 3 exons.
CAUGGGUGGAUUUUGAAGCAUGUCCUCAGGUCACAGCAGAUCACCUUGCCUUUCCUUUGUGCAGCGCAGGCACCACAAGGCCUGGGGAAGCUGGGCAGAGCUGCAGCCUGUGGAGAUGGGACAGCAGAAGUAAAGAUGCUGACUUGCUGCCUUCCUCACUCGAGCAGAGCUCUGUGUGCAAUGAUUCAGGCCAGGCUCCACUCCCUGCUCUCCCCAGUGUCCUGGAGGAAUAUGCUCCGGAAUGCCUUCAGCAAGAGCCUCUAAUCUGGAAGAGUCAUUUCUCCCUCUGCCUCUCGCAGUACAGGAGCAAUGCAGUGGCUGCUGGCUGGAAAAUUAGCCCAGGGA